RNAcentral lists this long non-coding RNA (515 nucleotides) under Drosophila guanche. The record is from RNAcentral. Lineage: Eukaryota; Metazoa; Arthropoda; Insecta; Diptera; Drosophilidae.
UCCACUCUCUUAUUGGAACUUUGUUUAAAUUCAGUAAUUUGUUAGAAGCCCUUCAAACGUUAAAUUUGGAAGUGUAUUUUAAAUGCAUAUUUUAUUAUUUGCGUGAAAACUGUUUUUGCAGUAUUGUUUUGUCAUUGUCACAUUUGUUUAGCGUGUAAACUGUUUUUGCCGAAUUAUUUUCUGGCCUCAAUGUCACGGUCGCCAUGUAGACAAGUUAUAUUUUAUUUGUAGAUAUAAAGACAUCCGUCUUUCUUGAGUUGGCUUUAUUCAAUGAAUCCGAGUAUAUUUUUGAAAUUCUACUUAUUUUAGGGCAGCGUAGCUGCGCUGCCAGGAACACCGGCAGCGGAGCGGCCGCAUUUAUGUGUUUAAUAUAUAUGUAUGUAUAUAUGCCCAGCGCUGCUGAUAGCGGGGUGGCGCGAGGGGUAUGCAUGCACAUUUAAACGGAUCAUGUUUGGGUGCCGUCGGUUACGUGAAAGACGCCGACGUUGCACUCUUGUCCGCGAGGCAUAUUUGUG